UACGGGGGGGGCAAGCGUUGUUCGGAAUUACUGGGCGUAAAGGGCUCGUAGGUGGCCAACUAAGUCAGACGUGAAAUCCCUCGGCUUAACCGGGGAACUGCGUCUGAUACUGGAUGGCUAGAGAUUGGGAGAGGGAUGCGGAAUUCCAGGUGUAGCGGUGAAAUGCGUAGAUAUCUGGAGGAAUACCGGUGGCGAAGGCGGCAUCCUGGACCGGCAUUGACGCUGAGGAGCGAAAGCUAGGGGAGCAAACGGG
Molecule: ribosomal RNA, 253 nt
Filed under: uncultured bacterium
Lineage: Bacteria
Description: partial 16S ribosomal RNA
Rfam family: Bacterial small subunit ribosomal RNA
Source: RNAcentral